Molecule: long non-coding RNA, 513 nt
Filed under: Chrysolophus pictus (golden pheasant)
Lineage: Eukaryota; Metazoa; Chordata; Aves; Galliformes; Phasianidae
Description: lncRNA (ENSCPIG00010001490.1)
Source: RNAcentral
GAAUCAAUGAUAGUUUGUCCUUUUUGAUUCCAGUUUGUUCCCCUGGGUUUUACGGACACCGGUGCAGCCAGACAUGUCCACAGUGUGUACACAGCAGUGGCCCCUGCCACCAUAUUACUGGAUUAUGUGACUGUUUACCUGGAUUUACUGGAGCCCUGUGUAAUGAAGUGUGUCCCAGUGGCAGAUUUGGCAAGAACUGCAUUGGAAUAUGCACCUGCACCAACAAUGGAACAUGCAACCCUAUCGACAGAUCCUGUCAGUGUUAUCCUGGGUGGAUUGGUAGUGACUGCUCUCAGCCCUGCCCACCUUCUCACUGGGGACCAAACUGCAUCCACACAUGCAACUGCCAUAAUGGAGCUUACUGCAGUGCCUACGAUGGAGAGUGCAAAUGUACCCCAGGAUGGACUGGCCUUUACUGUACACAACGAUGUCCCCUUGGAUUUUAUGGGAAGGACUGUGCACUGAUAUGCCAGUGCAAGAACGGAGCCGACUGUGACCACAUCAGUGGGCAGU